Molecule: non-coding RNA, 71 nt
Organism: Sus scrofa (pig)
Lineage: Eukaryota; Metazoa; Chordata; Mammalia; Artiodactyla; Suidae
Source: Rfam
CUCUAGCAAGUCUAGUGGCUAGGAUUCCUGGCUUUCAAGCAGGCUGCCCAGGUUCAAUUCCUGAGCAGAGA